GGCAGACUGAUUUCGCCAUGGCCUCAUUUGCUGAACUAAAUGCUAAAUUUGCCAUCGAUUUCCUCUAUCUCCUGAGCCAAAAACACCCAGAUGAAAACAUAAUUUUUUCUCCAGUGAAUCUUUCCUCUGCCUUGGGUUUUUUAACUUAUGGAUCACAAUGUGACAAAAAAGUGGAGCCAGAAAAGGUGCUUUCUUGCAACAAAGAGACAGAAUCCAUUAAUUCAGAAACCAAAUGCCUUUCUGAAACAUCAGCAAGAGGUCAAAGUUUGGGGAGCAAGCAAAGCAGAUAUCUUCCAAAAUUGCCAAACGCUCAAACCACUUGGAACAAAACUAGCUGUAGAGAAUCCUCCCUGUUCAAAACAUCUGAAGAAGGUGAGAAACAAACUACAAAAGAGAAUUUGGUUUUGUUAGCAGCUGAAACUAUUUUGUUAGCAGAAAAUAUUCCUCAAGCAGAUGCUGAGGAAGAGAGUUCCUUGCACUAUGUUCCCUGGAGAAAACAUCUCACAGGAAUGGAAGAGAGUGAAAAUCUAACUCAAGAAAAUCCAUCUGCAGAAGGAAAGGUGACUGAAAAUGAAGCUACUGCUCACAAGUAUGUCUGCGAAAACUUGACAGAAACAAGUUCACCAACUGCACCCUCAAGAGUUGAAGAUGCCAUAGAAAAUCUAAGAACCAUGUUGUCUGAAUUCAGGCAUACAGUGAAAUGUGCAGAUAACAAUGCACAGACAUUCAAGGAAAGUUGGUUGCUCUUUAAAGAAUGUUGUGACAACAUGUGUACAAGCAUGUCAAACCUUCAAGGUGUUUUGGAAUCCCUCAUCACAGUUUUAAGAGAGUAG
Molecule: long non-coding RNA, 833 nt
Filed under: Anolis carolinensis (green anole)
Lineage: Eukaryota; Metazoa; Chordata; Lepidosauria; Squamata; Anolidae
Description: lncRNA (ENSACAG00000042213.1)
Source: RNAcentral